GACGAACGCUGGCGGCGUGCCUAAUACAUGCCAGUAGAACGCUGAAGGAGGAGCUUGCUCUUCUGGAUGAGUUGCGAACGGGUGAGUAACGCGUAGGUAACCUGCCUGGUAGCGGGGGAUAACUAUUGGAAACGAUAGCUAAUACCGCAUAACAGUAGAUGUUGCAUGACAUUUACUUAAAAGGUGCAAUUGCAUCACUACCAGAUGGACCUGCGUUGUAUUAGCUAGUUGGUGGGGUAACGGCUCACCAAGGCGACGAUACAUAGCCGACCUGAGAGGGUGAUCGGCCACACUGGGACUGAGACACGGCCCAGACUCCUACGGGAGGCAGCAGUAGGGAAUCUUCGGCAAUGGACGGAAGUCUGACCGAGCAACGCCGCGUGAGUGAAGAAGGUUUUCGGAUCGUAAAGCUCUGCUGUAAGAGAAGAACGAGUGUGAGAGUGGAAAGUUCACACUGUGACGGUAUCUUACCAGAAAGGGACGGCUAACUACGUG
Molecule: ribosomal RNA, 495 nt
Filed under: uncultured bacterium
Lineage: Bacteria
Description: partial 16S ribosomal RNA
Rfam family: Bacterial small subunit ribosomal RNA
Source: RNAcentral